CAAUUUCAGAGUUCAGAGGCAUGCAUCAAUAGUUCACAUACAUUCUCCGAUGGACACACAUGUCUGUACCUGAUAUAAAUUUCAAGCACCAACAUUUAUAGUACACUGUAGAAACAUGACCUAUAUUUUAAUCCCUACUUAGGUAGUUAUCCUGAGAUUGAGAAACUUAUGGAAUAGUUGGUACAUUAAAUAUGACCGUGAUGUUGUGAAAGCUACAUUUGGGAAUGUUCAAAUGGAACGCCGCCAGCAUUACCAAAUUUAUUUAAUAAGACAUUUUAGUGAAAGAAAUCUUAGCCAUUCAGUGGCUUUCAAGGAUCGGAACAAGCUACCUUCCCAAUAUGUUCUUGAGAAGCAAUAACAGAACAAGCUUCUGGACGCAAAACUGAAGGGGAAGGUUAAACCUUUAGCCUCUCUAUCACCUAAAAUGGAAGGAAAACCAUGGUCAAGAUCAUUUCUUUUCUCCCAUCAUGCAAAAAAAGCAACUAACCACGAUAUGAUUUCACCAUGAAUAAUCGAAAUUUGGCAUGGUAGAAUGCCAUAGUAAGGAUUUCUUUUUUCCUGACCGAUAAGAAUCGGAAACGAAUUACUUACAGGCUUUCGAUUGUUUCUCCCCUGACUUCCUGGGAAAGAAGCCACCUUUGGGCUUUAGAUCGUAGAGGAGUCGCUCGCGCGAGUGCGAGAUCACGGGAUACACCGUAGGGCUUUGG
Molecule: long non-coding RNA, 707 nt
Filed under: Musa acuminata (dwarf banana)
Lineage: Eukaryota; Viridiplantae; Streptophyta; Magnoliopsida; Zingiberales; Musaceae
Description: long non-coding RNA (MACU_LNC000417)
Source: RNAcentral